GAUGAACGCUGGCGGCGUGCCUAAUACAUGCAAGUCGAGCGAACGGACGAGAAGCUUGCUUCUCUGAUGUUAGCGGCGGACGGGUGAGUAACACGUGGAUAACCUACCUAUAAGACUGGGAUAACUUCGGGAAACCGGAGCUAAUACCGGAUAAUAUUUUGAACCGCAUGGUUCAAAAGUGAAAGACGGUCUUGCUGUCACUUAUAGAUGGAUCCGCGCUGCAUUAGCUAGUUGGUAAGGUAACGGCUUACCAAGGCAACGAUGCAUAGCCGACCUGAGAGGGUGAUCGGCCACACUGGAACUGAGACACGGUCCAGACUCCUACGGGAGGCAGCAGUAGGGAAUCUUCCGCAAUGGGCGAAAGCCUGACGGAGCAACGCCGCGUGAGUGAUGAAGGUCUUCGGAUCGUAAAACUCUGUUAUUAGGGAAGAACAUAUGUGUAAGUAACUGUGCACAUCUUGACGGUACCUAAUCAGAAAGCCACGGCUAACUACGUGCCAGCAGCCGCGGUAAUACGUAGGUGGCAAGCGUUAUCCGGAAUUAUUGGGCGUAAAGCGCGCGUAGGCGGUUUUUUAAGUCUGAUGUGGAAGCCCACGGCUCAACCGUGGAGGGUCAUUGGAAACUGGAAAACUUGAGUGCAGAAGAGGAAAGUGGAAUUCCAUGUGUAGCGGUGAAAUGCGCAGAGAUAUGGAGGAACACCAGUGGCGAAGGCGACUUUCUGGUCUGUAACUGACGCUGAUGUGCGAAAGCGUGGGGAUCAAACAGGAUUAGAUACCCUGGUAGUCCACGCCGUAAACGAUGAGUGCUAAGUGUUAGGGGGUUUCCGCCCCUUAGUGCUGCAGCUAACGCAUUAAGCACUCCGCCUGGGGAGUACGACCGCAAGGUUGAAACUCAAAGGAAUUGACGGGGACCCGCACAAGCGGUGGAGCAUGUGGUUUAAUUCGAAGCAACGCGAAGAACCUUACCAAAUCUUGACAUCCUUUGACAACUCUAGAGAUAGAGCCUUCCCCUUCGGGGGGCAAAGUGACAGGUGGUGCAUGGUUGUCGUCAGCUCGUGUCGUGAGAUGUUGGGUUAAGUCCCGCAACGAGCGCAACCCUUAAGCUUAGUUGCCAUCAUUAAGUUGGGCACUCUAAGUUGACUGCCGGUGACAAACCGGAGGAAGGUGGGGAUGACGUCAAAUCAUCAUGCCCCUUAUGAUUUGGGCUACACACGUGCUACAAUGGACAAUACAAAGGGCAGCGAAACCGCGAGGUCAAGCAAAUCCCAUAAAGUUGUUCUCAGUUCGGAUUGUAGUCUGCAACUCGACUACAUGAAGCUGGAAUCGCUAGUAAUCGUAGAUCAGCAUGCUACGGUGAAUACGUUCCCGGGUCU
This 1372-nucleotide ribosomal RNA is filed under the name uncultured bacterium. Its description in RNAcentral is "bacterial SSU rRNA". It matches the Rfam family "Bacterial small subunit ribosomal RNA", at positions 28 to 1381 of the family's 1533-position model. The record is from RNAcentral.